UACGUAGGGGGCAAGCGUUGUCCGGAAUCAUUGGGCGUAAAGAGCGUGUAGGCGGCCUGAUAAGUCGGCUGUGAAAGUCAAGGGCUCAACCCCUGAAUGCCGGCCGAUACUGUCAGGCUAGAAUCCGGAAGAGGCGAGUGGAAUUCCUGGUGUAGCGGUGAAAUGCGCAGAUAUCAGGAGGAACACCUAUGGCGAAGGCAGCUCGCUGGGACGGUAUUGACGCUGAGACGCGAAAGCGUGGGGAGCGAACAGG
This 253-nucleotide ribosomal RNA is filed under the name uncultured bacterium. RNAcentral's name for it is "partial 16S ribosomal RNA". It matches the Rfam family "Bacterial small subunit ribosomal RNA", at positions 524 to 776 of the family's 1533-position model. The record is from RNAcentral.